Molecule: non-coding RNA, 37 nt
Organism: Cyanothece sp.
Lineage: Bacteria; Bacillati; Cyanobacteriota; Cyanophyceae; Gomontiellales; Cyanothecaceae
Source: Rfam
CUUUCAACCUACCCCUUAUCGGGAUGGCGGUUGAAAC